RNAcentral lists this microRNA precursor (110 nucleotides) under Nicotiana sylvestris (wood tobacco). RNAcentral's name for it is "MIR403 microRNA precursor family". It matches the Rfam family "MIR403 microRNA precursor family". Lineage: Eukaryota; Viridiplantae; Streptophyta; Magnoliopsida; Solanales; Solanaceae. The record is from Rfam by way of RNAcentral. RNAcentral also lists the same sequence under 1 other name.
GCAUAUUUCACGUUUGUGCGUGAAUCUGACAACCCUUUUUUCAUCAUUAAAUCUAUUUUUAUCUCAUGGGUUGUGUUUGUUAGAUUCACGCACAAACUCGCAAUAUGUCU